UACAGGGGGGGCAAGCGUUGUUCGGAAUUACUGGGCGUAAAGGGUUCGUAGGUGGCCAACUAAGUCAGACGUGAAAUCCCUCAGCUUAACUGGGGAACUGCGUCUGAUACUGGUUGGCUUGAGUGCAGGAGAGGAAUGCGGAAUUCCAGGUGUAGCGGUGAGAUGCGUAGAUAUCUGGAGGAACACCGGUGGCGAAGGCGGCAUUCUGGACUGUAACUGACACUGAGGAACGAAAGCCAGGGGAGCAAACGGG
RNAcentral lists this ribosomal RNA (253 nucleotides) under uncultured bacterium. RNAcentral describes it as "partial 16S ribosomal RNA". It matches the Rfam family "Bacterial small subunit ribosomal RNA", at positions 524 to 776 of the family's 1533-position model. The record is from RNAcentral.